This 368-nucleotide ribosomal RNA is filed under the name uncultured organism. RNAcentral describes it as "bacterial SSU rRNA". It matches the Rfam family "Bacterial small subunit ribosomal RNA", at positions 526 to 896 of the family's 1533-position model. The record is from RNAcentral.
CAGAGGGAGCUAGCGUUGUUCGGAAUCACUGGGCGUAAAGCGCGCGCAGGCCGCCAUAUAAGUCAGAUGUGAAAGCCCGGGGCUUAACCUCGGAAUUGCAUUUGAAACUGUGUGGCUAGAGUAUGGUAGGGGAUAGGGGAAUUCCUAGUGUAGCGGUGAAAUGCGUAGAGAUUAGGAGGAACACCAGUGGCGAAGGCGCCUAUCUGGGCCAUUACUGACGCUGAGGCGCGAAAGCGUGGGGAGCAAACAGGAUUAGAUACCCUGGUAGUCCACGCCCUAAACGAUGAGUGCUAGUUGUCGGGACAUUAGUUUCGGUGAUGCAGCUAACGCGUUAAGCACUCCGCCUGGGGAGUACGGUCGCAAGAUUA